This 1228-nucleotide long non-coding RNA is filed under the name Ursus maritimus (polar bear). RNAcentral describes it as "lncRNA (ENSUMAG00000001125.1)". The record is from RNAcentral. Lineage: Eukaryota; Metazoa; Chordata; Mammalia; Carnivora; Ursidae.
GCCGCGGCGGCGCCCAAGUCUGCGGAGCCGGAGCGCAUCCCCGGCAGGCGUCAGGGAGGCGCGGGCCGAGCCAGGUGCGCGCGGACUCACCCGGGUGCGCACGGCGAUGCGAGGACCGGUACAGCCACGCACGUUCAGACCUAGGAGCGCCUGACAAGUACGCCCCGACGGACCACCGUACAGUCACGGUCGCGCUGAGUGAAUCAGGUCCACAGAGGUGGGUCCACACACCGUUGGAGAGGUCAUCAUUUCACUCUUGCCCAUUACCGAUGGGGAAACUGAGGUCCCAGAGCCACUUACUGCCUGAGUCAGGAUCACCAUGCAACACGUCUUUCCGUGGCUGGAGUAAAGGAACAAGAGGCAGCCUUAUUCAUCUUGCGGAAGACCCAACGCUACACGCAGUGGCUGGUAUUUCAAAUGAUCAAACCAGGGUUCAAAGCAUCUAAAGCAGAUGACAUGAUCCACUAACUCCCCUGAAGUGAGACGGAAUAGGGACGGAUGUCAAGUGAAAAGACUGGUCAUGAGAAAGGUUUUGGCUAAAGAUUCCAUAUAAUUCCACGUGAAAUGGCUGCCCCAGACUAACGUGAUCUCAGGCUGCAUUUUUAGAAGUAUAGAGUUGAGGAUAAGGGAGGUGAUUGCUGGAGGGUUUCAGGUUGCCCUGCUUUUGGGGGGACAGGAAGAGGCUAGAGUCCAGUGUCCAUGGAGGGCAAAGGACUGUGAAGCACAGGGGACACUGCCCUUGGAGAGGAGAAGACCCAAGGGCGGAGGCAGGCAGGAGCGGAAGGGUCACGCCGCCUGGCUCCAGCGCAGAACUGAGAACCCACGUGGUAUCUGGCGGGAGCAGGUGCAAGUCAGGUGAGGAAAGGAUCCUGCUUUGAGCCCUCAGAUACUCUCAACCAAAACCCUGGGCCCUUCUGAUAAAAAGUCCUCCUUGGCGCUAAAUACACAUCUUAGAGCCAACAAAUAGGUAACCCAUAGUUCCCCCAUUCUAAGGUGUACUUAAAAGUGAAUAUUACUGAAACUGGGACUGUCUUACAAUCAAUGUGUAUAUUGAAUGCAUCCUUCUUUUCUGAAAGUUGUUACUUAAGCAUGUUUGAAUCAGCAAAGUGUACAGUUGGGAAAGGUUUUUUUUGACAAUCUAUUUCAUCAGACUCUUGUCCCGUUAGAAUGCAUGUCUUGAAUUAAAAGAAAUCUACCUAAAUAAAUAACACAUUAAAAAAAAAAUCCA